CCUACGGGAGGCAGCAGUGAGGAAUAUUGGUCAAUGGACGAGAGUCUGAACCAGCCAAGUAUCGUGAAGGAUGACUGCCCUAUGGGUUGUAAACUUCUUUUAUAUGGGAAUAAACUGUUCCACUUGUGUGCUUUUGUAUGUACCUUAUGAAUAAGGAUCGGCUAACUCCGUGCCAGCAGCCGCGGUAAUACGGAGGGUCCGAGCGUUAUCCGGAUUUAUUGGGUUUAAAGGGAGCGUAGGUGGAUUGUUAAGUCAGUUGUGAAAGUUUGCGGCUCAACCGUACAAUUGCAGUUGAAACUGGCAGGCUUGAGUAUAGUAGAGGUGGGCGGAAUUCGUGGUGUAGCGAUGAAAUGCUUAGAGAUCACGAAGAACUCCGAUUGCGAAGGCAGCUCACUGGACUGAAACUGACACUGAGGUUCGAAAGUGUGGGUAUCAAACAGGAUUAGAUACCCUUGUAGUC
RNAcentral lists this ribosomal RNA (460 nucleotides) under uncultured bacterium. RNAcentral's name for it is "partial 16S ribosomal RNA". It matches the Rfam family "Bacterial small subunit ribosomal RNA", at positions 338 to 795 of the family's 1533-position model. The record is from RNAcentral.